This 498-nucleotide ribosomal RNA is filed under the name uncultured bacterium. RNAcentral's name for it is "bacterial SSU rRNA". It matches the Rfam family "Bacterial small subunit ribosomal RNA", at positions 28 to 509 of the family's 1533-position model. The record is from RNAcentral.
GACGAACGCUGGCGGCGUGGAUUAGGCAUGCAAGUCGGACGGUAGAGCUUUAUCGUAAGAUAGAGUUUGAGAGUGGCGAACGGGUGAGUAACACGUAGGAAUCUACCCUUAAGACGGGGACAACCCAGGGAAACUUGGGCUAAUACCGGAUGAGAGUGCGAGAGAUUGCAUUUAAAAGGAUGGCGAAAGUUGUCGCUUAGGGAUGAGCCUGCGGUCUAUUAGUUAGUUGGUGAGGUAAGAGCUCACCAAGGCGAUGAUAGAUAGGCGGCCUUAACGGGUGGUCGCCCACACUGGGAUUGAGAUACGGCCCAGACUCCUACGGGAGGCAGCAGUCGAGAAUAGUCUACAAUGGUCGGAAGACUGAUAGUGCGACGCCGCGUGAACGAUGAAUCCCUUCGGGUGUAAAGUUCUUUUAUAUGUGAGCAGUGCUUCUAUAUUAACAGUAUGGGGAGAGUAGAUAUUAAGCAUAUGAAUAAGCAAACGGCUAAACUCCGUGCC